CGGUCAAAUAAUCUACUCUUAGGGUACUGGCCAUGCCCGAGAUGUUGAAGCUGAUAUGAAACUGAGCGCCGUGUUCACCUACAAAUUUACCUAAUAGCGGAUCGUCGCUGCUAGCCGUAUGGGAAAUGUCAGCGCUAGUGGUAGGAGCAAUACUACCAUCAAGUUUGGUUGGCAUUGGUGUGACUAGGCUUGUCUUGCUCUAACAUGCUCAUCACCAGCUCUUGGUCAUCAGAGCAUUACUCAAUCUCUCUGGGGAUACAUAGUCGUACAGGAUAUCGCACACAAUGUCUACUUUUGAUGGUUACGUAUACUUUCCAGUUGGGAGUGCUGAGUGGGAGUGCUGAGUGCUACCAUCUGGUAAACGGUACACGCAAUGCAAUUAACCUACGCUCACGGCAUGAUACCUCUAAAACCAUCACAUGUUCCCAUCGACUUAGAAAGCUUUUCGAGUAGGUUGGGGUCAGCUUUAGUGUAGUAUGUACAUUCUGUGGCAGCUAGUACAGACAAAAGCAAGACCAUUGUUUUUGUACAAUGUCUGACAGUAGACAUACAGUAGACAUUGUAUGUCUAUUUUUUUUCCGCUCAACAAUUUCUUGCUGAGUUUCGUUACUCCUCUUACGAGAUGUAGAUUGCUUAUUAGCAUUUUUACGUACAGCAAUCUGAGGUUCGGUCUCAUUAGCUCUAGCGUGAGACAGCGUCAUCCGUCUCAUUAGCUCUACGUGUGUGCAGUGUUCUUAGUUCUACGUACAAUACUUUGAGGCUUGGGGCUCUAGCUUGAGACGUGUGUGCAGCAUCCUUAGUUUUUGCUCUAGCUUGAGACGUGUGUGCAGUUCUACGUACAAGAAUCUGAGGCAUUAUCUCUGAGGCAUUAUCUCUAGCUUGAGACGUUCUACGUUGCAGUCUGUGUUCUUAGCUCUACUUACAACAGUCUGAGACAUGGAUCGGGUAUUGUAGCAUUUACACACAACAGCAUGGAUUUUUCGCUUUACGCAAUAGUCAGUCGCUAAUGAAACAGUGGGUCAGUCAGUAGUCUAGUCUGUGAGAUAUAAGUAUUAAAAAGUAUUAAAGACAGAAUUCAAGCAGUCUAAAAGGUAUUCUGGUAUACAUAAAGUUUGCCUUUAGUCUCCAAUGACUGUGGUGCUCCAAUGACUGGUGCCAAAAAAGGUUUGUGUGUGUGUGUGUUCGUGUGGUUUGUGUGUUUUAUGUGUUUUAUAAAGAGCACACUCUUGAGCCAAAGUCAUGGAUAUGGAUAUGGAAGAGCCAACAAAAACUAUUGCAAAUAUGUUGUACAUAAAUUGAAAUUGUGAGCGUGUCACAUUUUUUGGUCCAUCAGUAUAUGCCUAGGCAUUCACAUGACAGAGAGUUGUUUUUGAGAAAUGGAACUGUUGUGAGUUUGAAAUGCAAAACUGAAAAACUGAUCCAAAUUCACUAGGUAUGUAACAUGACUCAUAUGAAUCAUGAUCUACUUAUACUAGAUCCAAUUAUUUACUAGGUACAUGUAUGUAUUCUUUGUGCAUUAGGCCAGUUAUUAGUGAGCCUUCAAGACUCAGAGUAGAUCAAGCUAGGCACCGACAGGGAAAUUUGAGAAAGGGGGGGCUGCGCCAGAAAUCAAUGUUCUGCGACUGGAAACCACACCUCAUAAUUAAUGACUCAUGACUCAUUUUGAAUGAUUUAUGAUGUUACAAUUUGUAAUAACAAUUAAUAUGCAAUUAAUACUUUGCAUCAGUACUCAGGCUGGCAGGUGUUUCAUUAACUCAUUGUUUAAUUAUGCAGUGUCACUGUGUAUAGACACUGUAUAUAAUUAUCAACUAUUUUGAUUGUCAGGAGUACUUCUUACAACUAACAUGCUCAAGGCAUGAUGAAACGGGGAAAACAUUUGUUAGUUACAGUACCGUACCGUCCAUAAUAAAGCUACUGUUACUGUUCAAAUAAUUAUGAUCUCAAUACCGCCUCAUCUACAACUUACAUCUACAACUUUUUGUUUCCACAGAACGCAUCUAUCCGCUUAAACAUUUUGUUGACAUAAUUAUUCUGUAAGUUUAGAUUCCGUAUUAUGCUGCCAUUCCACAAAAUGUAAAUGCCUCAAAAAUGUCGCUCUAUACAGGUAUUACAGGUUUAAGCAUACACGUUUAAGCAUACACACACACCAACCAUAGUUUUUAGUGUCUGUAAGUUUUUGCAGGGGGGUCAAAUUUUUUUUUUGCCAAUUUUGCUCAAAAGCAAAGCUAUAGCUGUGCGUUGUCCUCGAGAACAAACCGCUUACAAGAGGACUGCGCUUACAAGAGGACUGACUUUAAAACUGGCGAAAAUAAAAUUUGACCACUAAAAACUAGGAGUCUGCAAGAGAAAAUCCAAUUAGUGACCUUAAUUAGCUAAGAUCAAGUAGCAUAAUUUUGAGACAUUGAGCCAGCACAAGUAUUAGCAAUUUUUACUAAAUGUUGGUGGAAAGUUAAAGCUCAAUAGCACGACCUUUACACGUCCUUCUGUCCACGUCGUGGUAUUUCUAAGAUUUCUUUCACCAAUAAGAAAAUUAAGAAGCGUCUGUGAUGUUGCAGUAUAAUUCUCGUGCGGUUAUGAUUUCAUACGUAGUACCGCCCACCGCGGAACCAUUUUUUAAAGUACUUCGCCCUUAGCAGUACUUUGCUAAGCUUCGCCCUUAGCAAAAAAAGCUGCGUAGCUUCGAAACCGUAGCAGUUUUCUUGGGCAACUUUGUAGCUACUCUAUCAGGAUCUCCUGGAUUCAGCCAAGGCCACAGCGAAGGAUCAUUUUAGAGGAAACUUUCUAUCAAACUAGUCUACGCCAGUUACUCAGUCAGGAUCUCUUGGUUUCCAAUGGAACAGUCAACCAGCUGAGGCCACAGCGAAGUCAGAGCAAAGAAGGUUCAUACCUUGGAAACAGUACCAGUUCUCUGGGCAACUUCGUAGUAAACUAGCCAGUAUCUCCUAAGUUUCGGAACAGUCAGCGAAGGACAAGGGUACCCCCUCAUCUGGUCUCCUCUAUCAACGCCACCCAUCAACCGAUUGUAGCACUGAGGGCAUGGUACAGCGAUCUUCUCUCCUCGCAGAGGCCGUGGACAUUACACUUAUUAUCCUCAUCAAAUAAUCUCCUCUGAAAAAGGCCAGGUACACUACAUGUCUACAUGAUGUAGUCUCAUGAAUCAGCCUGGUCCGACAACCUACUUUUUAAAUCUUGUAAGCACAUCUCAUGAAUCAGCCUGGUCCGACACUGGGUGAAAUCUUCUCCUGAAAUCUAAUCUUAUUGUAAUCUCAGUGGUCAUUUGAGUGUACUGCACCUGUACUGCACAGGCUAGCCUGAGAGUUUCUCCACAUGCACAGGAACAGAAAGGUACUAUUAGGAUAACAGUAUCAUUAUUAUAUUAUGUACACAUCUCAGAAUCUGAAACUAGCAACCCUCCAUUUCACCUCGAUCUUUCACUUGGAAACGUAAAGUUACGUAUGAAUUGCUUUAUGGUAGCAGUUUCGAUGUGAUCUCUCUCAUGCGGUCAGUGUCAACUGCCUGCUUGCCUCGGGAUAUGAUGUUGCUGAUGUGAUUUCUACUAUGGACAUCCUGGAAAUUCUAUAGAAACGAUAGAGAAGUCUCCAAUCACCUGGCCACAGAAUAAGGAUAAGUUCAUAAGCCUGAGGAUAAAAUGCCAAACAGAAUGCAUAGUACGGAUAGUGACACAGAGUUUGCUUGUAUCACAAAGAAAGUGAGACGCAGCAUUUCUGCCUGGAAUCAAUCAAGUGAAACAUUUGAGACUCACUUCUCGUAUGUGUGACGUGCAUUGCAUGUCAAACAAGAAUUCACCUGCAGCCCAGUAGAAUCACACGUUACCAAGUGCAAAAUACUCAUGAAUGGAGGAGGUACUUUGGCAGCGUUUUCAGUGUCCACUGCUCAGUCAUUAGAACUGCUCAGUCAUUAGACACUGACUCAGAACAUUCUACGAAGCACACGCCACCUGACUGACUACUCUCUCAACGAGCAAACACCUGAACGUUCUGCCUACUCUCUCAACGAGCAAACACAUGCCCACCCUCUCAACGAGCAACCACCUGAACGUUUUGCCUACCCUCUUGCCUACCCUCUCAAUGAGCAACCACCUGAACUACCCUCUCAAGGAGCAACCACCUGAACGUUUCGCCUACGCAACCACCUGCCUACGGCAGCAAUCGACAGUGCUACCUGAAGACAUCAAAGCUCAGAAUUUUGAAGAGGCCCCUCUCUUCCGUACGAUAUAAAGGAGCACAAUGUUUCCGUUAUGGUAGGCACAAGAGAAAAUUAGAGACUGUACAAAUCUGUCCAGAUCAAACUAACUUUUUCAAUGAAAUUGAUCAACUCACCACUGAAAAACAAAAAGUUACAACACUUACUCAGAAAUAACGACUAUGAAAUGUCACCUGACUUACUCAAUAAAAAAAUGCCACCACAUGGGCGACACUGUUUAUUUGCCUAUGAUUUUUUACAACAGAACUGGGAGUUCCGCCAAAACUUAGAACCUUUAAACCCCUUUUUUGACACUCUUGUACUAUGCACCGUAACAUGAUGUGCUCAGUGGUAAACUUGUUAUCAGUUCCAAAGCAUGCUAAGCAGAAUGGUGGAAUGUUCACAGAUAACGGUUUAGCCAUUGUUUAUACAUAUGCAUACCUAGCCUCUAUAGCCUCUCUAUAGCCUCAAAUGAAACAGCCAAGAAUUUGGGAAGGCGAACAAAACCAACGCACCCGGGAUAUUACUCUAGUCAUUUAGCAAUAUGUUCAUUGACUGCAAUGCAGGUCUAAAUGUAAUGUAUUGUUGGACCUAGCCAAGUUCCUGGCACCCAUGGUUUUGCUUACAAAGGCCUAGCCUACGUCCAAGAUAUUGUCCACAUCGGAGUGAAAUUAAAGUGCAGACUUCUCUACCAAUGGGUAGUGCCAUAUUACGAACGGUAAAGUUACGGGAAAAAGACAUCAUCUGUUACCUGAUACAAAACAGUACACUAAACACUUAAUGCACAUUCUCUCGAUUCGAAAUGAGCACCCUGAUUCGUUUUUGCCACCAUGUGUAGAACAGCACGAAGUAUGAAUAGCAUGUUUUCAAAUGUUAUCAAGUUUGGGAUGCUGGGUUUGUUAAGACGUGUACAUCGGUAGAAUCCAACAUUGAAGCAAAAAGUGGUACAAACUCUCUCUCUCUCUCUCUCGCACCUCAUUGUUCAGUGAAAUCACUGAUACUGACAUAGCCAAGGCUAUAGUCAGAUCCAAGACUUCAGCAUUCUCUUCCUGAAUCAAACUCGAAGGAAACGAGUGAGGAACAAGGAACCUUUUUCUUCUGACAGUGUCACACUUCUAAAGAAUUAUAGUGUUGAAUCAUAGAUACUAUAAAUUACAUGGAUAUGAAACGACCGUAGUUUACGGUUAGUAUGCGGACUUUUUCUGGGACACUCAUUUCAAGAUUUACAGAGUUUUUAAAAAGAGCUACAGCUCUACUUGUUUCUGUUUAAUUUGCAGUGAUUUUCAACUAACUCUACAACCACCAACCACCUGUCAGAAGUAAGUUUUAUCAGUGAUUAGCUCACUCAGUGCGUUUUACAGCUGAUUAAUCAGGCUCGUUUAGCGCGUGUUUCAACCUUUGUGACUGCGCAGUGCUGAGUUUAUUUUAUAUGAAGCAGUUAGCUAAUAUAUAUAUUUAUGUCUUCCAUAUGGUUUGUUUUGUAUAAGGCUGUGACUUCUGGAUAAAUUAUCAUAAUUUGUGCUGCAAAGUAGGUCUCUUUGUGUCACUUGUGUCACUUGAUAUAUAUGCCUACAAUUAUUUUUAUCAGCCAGUUCAAAGGCAUCUUUAUGUCUUGCAAAAGGUUUUAGUUGUCUCUAAAUAUUGCUAGAAAUCAAUAAAAUGUACUAAAGAUUUCUCGCCUUCAAAUAAGCUGAUAAUUGCACAUGGGCUUAUACAUGUUUGUUUUCUUUACAGCCUGAUUAUGCCCAAAAAGGAGUUCGGGCUUUCUUUGAGCGACGUAAAUACCCAACAAAAACAACUACCAUCAGAGAAGAAAGUACAGAGGCGGCAGAGCAAUUUACCAUUUGCUCGCUUCACUUGCUUGCCUAUGGUUGGGGCCGACAUACAAAGUCGAGAAAGAUCCACCUGUACAAGUGAAGAAGUCUGUAUUAGUGAAAGAAAAAGAAGAUCUUACGUGGAUAGUCUUUUACAAUACCAAGCAGCUAGAUGCAGUUUACUAAAAGAUGUCCAUUCAACCCUAUUAAGAGUGAUUGAUACUGCUGUUCUUUGUCCUGGGAAUCCUGAGGCGCAUUUUGUAACACUCUGCACGAAAAGACGUGGAGAAGACAAGGCGCUAGUUGAGCAGAGGCCAGGUGCAUACUUCUACGGUGAGAACAGUAGACUGUGAGUAGUUAUGUAGCAGAAGGAGUGCCAAUCCCACCCGAUGUUCCAAGUGUCAGAUAUUACCAGAUAUUACGGCCAACGCUUAGGAGUAGUCUGUCUCGAUCAAAUCAUUCUGAUGAGUUACUACGUACCUCCUAGCUCUCAAGAGAAAACUGUCCGUCUCAAGAAUAUGCACACGUCCUUGACUUCACUGAAGAAGAAAAAUAAGCGAAUUCAGCUCAAAGUGCACAUACUUGAGAAAGAAGCUGUCUCUCUCCACCCUGAGCAGUCUACUGAUAUAAGUGAUCUCAUCUCUGAAUUAAACCCCACUGUUGAACAGUAGUUUCCCCCAGACUCACCCCAGCACAUCUUUUGGGAGCAGCAACGUCGUCGGUUCAAAGAGAAACGCCAAAUGAAAUGGCAUCCACUGGAAUCCACUACUUAUUCGGUUUGCUCUUAAUUUAAAAUACCUCUCAUCAAAUGCCUACCGAGCUAAGUCAGGUAUGAUCGCUUUGCCUUCCGAGAGAAGUUUGUUUGAUUACACCCAUUGGGUCACACCACACACUGGUGUUCAGUGCGAUCGAUGGAGUCUGAGCUAUCGUCAAAGCCUCAUCACAUCGCUUUGAGCAUGGAUGAAAUGAAGAUUAAAAGUGGCACACUGGUACUUCGACUGGCUUUGUAGACUUGGGUGAAGUGAAUGCAGAUUCUCACAACGCUACAGAGAGCCUUUGCCUUUAUGGCCAGAGCUGUAUUUAAACCUGCUCACUACUUCAGCACAGGACAAAUCUAUCAGCUGAGAAGAUAUUUCCGAUGGCUUGGGAUGUGAUAGAUACCCUUGAGCUGUAUGAAUUGCCUGUGACAUCUCUGACUAGUGAUGGAGCGCAACAAAAUAGGCGAUUUUACCACCUCUGUGUCUAAGUCAUUUGAAUUUUGAUCGAAGCGAUCAUGCGUGUGUUUAUUAUUCUACCGCCCUCAUGGAGAACUGAUCGGUUGGAAGACCAUUGAAAGUUUGUACCUUAGUGAGACUACUACGUCGACUAUGGGAGUUAGACUCUGCCACAAGCACCAUGUGUGGCUAACGUCCCAUAACCGCAUGCGUGUAUACUUGGCAGCAGGGUCAUUUGUUCCUGUGUAUAUGAAUUAUAUCAUUUUUUUACCAUGACAUAGCCUGGAAUAUAUGAACCGUGACACAGAGCUGUUUAUCAGGAUUGUGGAUCAAUUCUUUGACUAUUUAAAUGUCAAAAACUCAAAGUUGUGUGACGCAGGGCACCGUAUAAGAACUCACGAGAUGAGCGCUUGAAGUGGCUUUCUGGAUACUUCAUUGACGAUUGGGAUCAGCCAGCAGAACUGAACUGACCCCGAGCCAAAGACAAAAAAUGUGUUUAAGCGCACCAACCAAGGAGGGAAUGAAAUUAAGUCAGUUGUUGCAGUGCGUAGUCAUAGAUACUAUAAUGUGUGAUAUGAUAACUUAAUUUUGUGUUACCAAAGUUACCAAAACUACCAGGAGCUAACUAUAUUCUAAGUGAAGUCUUCUCUUUGGAACGCUACUUUUCCAAACAGCGACAGUAGCAACGAGAACCCAUUGGUGCCAUUCAAUGCCUCAACGCAGAGCACUAGGAUCACUAGGAUGUCAAAACUAUGAAUGUCACAAGAGAAUGUCACAAGAGAGGACUCAGCAGACAAGCUUGCGGAACCACGACGACGUAUUAACACACCUGUUCUUAAAUUUUAGUGCCAUGCUUAAUUUGUAUAAUUAUAUAAUUGUACAUUGAAAUUUUCAUGUAAAUAUUCUAAAUGAUGCCACUGUGCAUAGAAUUAUGUGCAUAGAAUUAUCAUGAAAAAAGAGCAAGUUAAUUAUUCCUUUAGAGUAUCGUUUCACAAAGUUCAUAGUCCAGCCUUUGGCAGCCACGUACUGUAGUCCACAAGAACUCAAUACUGUACUUCUCGUACUGUAGAGGCUCUCCCACUGCUCAAGAAUGGACUCACUUUGCAGCACCUCAUGAAUGAUUGCGCUUACGGCUGUGAGUAGGAUACUUCCAAAUGACACCAUCUCAAUCGAUUCAAAAAGUCGAGCCACUUCAUUACUAAUGUGGAACAGCCCACCUCUGUCAACCAAAUUUGACCAUGUUCUAGUGUAGUCAGCAAGAGAGUCAAUAUCACCAGGUUGAUGUGAUGCCAGGUUGAUGUGAUGCUUUCAUCUUGGAUAGGACCUGAACAAAUAAAUCGUUUUUCUUCUGUAAAGCCACUUUCUUUGUGGACCGCUUGUUGUACUUUUUAAGAAGAGAUGCAGCCCUGCCAUGUACAUCACAGCAUUCUGUUCCAUCUGGUUCAAACCGGAGCAUCGCAAGCCUUGAUAAGGGCUUUCAGGAGCCUGUCCAUUAAUAGCUGAAGAAGGAGUCGCGAUUCAUCGAGAGUAAUGUUGUUGUGUCAUGAAGGCGUUCCAAAUAAAAAAAUUGUUCUCGUCGGAAUUCCUUAUUGUAUGAAAUUGUUUCUUUGAGACGUGGAUGGCUUUGAGAGGUGGAUGGGAGCUUAAAGUGUUUCCCUUCAGCAACACACGAGCCAACUUCUGGUGAGGUAAGGCUACCUGGGAAAUAGCAACUUGUACUUUUCGACCUCGGGGUGAUCUUUGGAUUGCUUGUUCUUCUCUCAAGUUACUUGUGAAGUAACGACAGAAAACCUUCACCCUUUUCAGGAACUGCAACAGUGUCCUACAAAGAACAAUCUGUAGGUAUAAAGGAGAAUAGGUGACCUGACUAUAAAUAUUGUGUAGCUAGAUCUAUACAUAACUUGCAAUAGUGGAUCUAGAUCUGGGAAUCAAGAUGAUAUCAGAGCAUCAUUUUCAACCAAGACUUCAUCAAAACUCUGGUCUAAGCUUGUGUCUAAGACGCUACUAACAGCCAUUUUUAAUUCUUGAAGUAUACGGAAUAUCGUAUACUAGUCCGUUACAUCCGAGCGGAAACUACCGUCGUUUCAUAUCCAUGUAAUUUAUAGUAUCUAUGGUUGAACCUUGGAGACAUGUGUGUUUUUGAAACGGAUAAUAAAAUAAUGGUCAAUACCUUGAUUUAAGGCGACCCUCCAAAUAUGCGACACCCAGGAGUUUCAGCAAUUUUCUGACCUCUAAAAGCUGCACUGACAAUUAUUUUUUAAUGUCGCAUCCAAAAUAACUGACUACUUUAAAGUUGCAACAGAAGAGGAGAUUAGACAGGCUGCCAUUUGGCAGUUGGGAGGCCAAGAAAAAGCACUGUGCAUAACCUGCAGCUACUGGUAGUGUAUUUAGCAAUGUGAAUGACAGUGGUAGUGGAGCAGGGGCCGUGGGUAGUGAAGAAGGAUCUGAAACUUGUAAGUACCUGUCUGUAGUGUUGAAUUGUAAAUUGUAAGAACUAAGUAACUGCGGGUAGAUCAUCUGAGUCAGUCUCUCUAUGCAACAAUUAAAUUAUUCCUGUAGGUGAGCCAGCUCCGGCUCCAAAGAUUCAUCGAAGAUAUUCUUAUUCACAGAUUGCUGAUUACGCCAGGAUGAACGGCCUGAGACCUGCAGAGAAAAAGUAUGGUGUGCAUCGGAGGAAUAUAGAUCGAUGGAAAAAAAUUAGAGUUAGUGAGUUUAGUAAACAAGAGCUAAAAAAGUCCUUCAAUAGAAAGGGCCAAGGAAGGAACCUCUACUAUCCAACGGUUGUAGAUGACGAGCUUGUGCAAUGGGUGCUGGAAAUGCGUGACCUUCAAUUGGCUGUUAGUUCUGAAAUGAUGAAGAAGAUUCGCACAUCACACAUGACCCGUUGGAAAUCGUCGCAUAGCACAUAGUACAUAGCGCGACCACCGUAGCUAUGGCCCGUGUGUAUUGAGCCAACAUUAAAAUUUAAUAGCCAAGGCCAAAGUUGUAAUCACCCCUCACUGUGCUACAUUUGCAGCGUCCAAUGGGUGGCUUGAGAAAUUUUUGAGGCGACACUGUCUUGUUUUUCGUCAGAAAACUCCCAAAGAAUUUGGAAGAGCAUAUUGAAAAGUUCUCGCAUGACAUAAGAAAGCUCAGAGAAAAGACAGAUGUUCCCAAUUGCUAGCGUCUUGGCAAUAUGGAUGAGACUCCAGCCUAUUUGUGCCUGGGAAAACGAUUCACAAAAAAGGAGCCAGAACCAUUAAGAUUAGGACAACUGGGGCAGAGAAACGUCAUCUAACAGUUGUGCUCACUUGCACUGCUGAUGGAGGGGUUUUUGCCUCCGAUGAUUAUCUUCAAAGGGGAAAACAAAUCGUACCAUCAAUAAGCUAAUCGUUCCAAAGUAUUUUGUUGUUGUAACCCAGCCGAAGGCUUGAAUGGAUGAUCCGCUCAUGUUGAGUGACGAGAUUUGAAUGCCGGGUUAUACCGAGUCCAUUCUUUGCCUGGACUCAUUUAGAGCACAUAUCUCUGCAUCCACUGAUGGAAAGCUCAGGACCAACAAUGUACAUGCCUCUGUUAUUCCGGGUGGGUGCACUUCUAUACUUCAAUGUUUGCUUGAACAAGCCUUUCAAAUCACAGGAAUACAUGCUAAGCAAGAUAAGGAUAAUCCAAUAGGCAAGAUUCCUUCCCCAAGUCGCCAACUUAUUGUUAAUUGGGUGGAUGGAAGAAUAUAAAAAUUAGGAAGGAGGCAAUUGCAAAAUCGUUUAAUGCUUUUGGGACAUGGGAGGAAAAACUCGUACGAAAUGAUGACCUAAAAAAUGAAAUCGAUGAUCCAUUUGAUGACGUUUCCAGUGAUCCGGAUUCCAGUGAUGGUUUGGACUGCUCUGAAUGUUCCUUCCUAGCUGGAGAAUGGUCAGAAAUUGACAGUGAUUUCUGCUUGAACUUAUCAAGCUCAUGCAAGAUCAUUUAUUAUUAUAAUACAGUAUCAUGUGUUUCACAUAAUUAUUAAUCAUACAGUGCAACGAGUAGAUUUUUUUUUAUAUCACAUUUUGUGGCAUAUCUUCUAAGUGAUGUGAUCUAUUUGAGUGCAGGUACUGAAAGUUCAAUUAUUGGCGGUCCUAAGUGAUAUGAUCUAUUUGAGUGCAGGUACUGAAAGUUCAAUUAUUGGCGCUUCCAUUGGACCACCACCUGUUACAUCAUAUGACAUCAUCACUAUGAAAUGGCUGUCUGAAGAUGUGUACCUCCGAAAAUAUGUUAGGAAUAGAAGUAGCUUAUUUGUUUGAGUUAAGAUCUGAAAUUUGUUGUGCAUGU
Molecule: long non-coding RNA, 11518 nt
Organism: Halichondria panicea
Lineage: Eukaryota; Metazoa; Porifera; Demospongiae; Suberitida; Halichondriidae
Exons: 10
Source: RefSeq, a predicted model, not a curated record